UCCCUGGUGGUCUAGCGGCAAGGCUUUAGUGUUCUCACCGCCACGACCUGGGUUUGAUCCCUGGUCAAGGAA
This is a non-coding RNA of Pangasius djambal, 72 nucleotides long. NCBI's taxonomy places the organism in Eukaryota, Metazoa, Chordata, Actinopteri, Siluriformes, Pangasiidae. The record is from the annotation of a GenBank genome assembly.